CGCGUAGGUGGUUGCGUAAGAUUGAUGUGAAAUCCCUGGGCUUAACCUAGGAACUGCAUCGAUGACUGCGUAGCUAGAGUACUGUAGAGGGUAGUGGAAUUUCCGGUGUAGCGGUGAAAUGCGUAGAGAUCGGAAGGAACACCAGUGGCGAAGGCGGCUACCUGGACAGAUACUGACACUGAGGCGCGAGAGCGUGGGGAGCAAACAGGAUUAGAUACCCUGGUAGUCCACGCUGUAAACGAUGAAGACUAGAUGUUGGGCAGCUUGACUGUUUAGUAUCGAAGCUAACGCGAUAAGUCUUCCGCCUGGGGAGUACGGCCGCAAGGUUAAA
RNAcentral lists this ribosomal RNA (331 nucleotides) under uncultured Pseudomonadota bacterium. Its description in RNAcentral is "bacterial SSU rRNA". It matches the Rfam family "Bacterial small subunit ribosomal RNA", at positions 568 to 898 of the family's 1533-position model. Lineage: Bacteria; Pseudomonadati; Pseudomonadota. The record is from RNAcentral.